This 68-nucleotide transfer RNA is filed under the name Marmota monax (woodchuck). Its description in RNAcentral is "tRNA.Undet". The record is from RNAcentral. Lineage: Eukaryota; Metazoa; Chordata; Mammalia; Rodentia; Sciuridae.
GGAUUGUGGCUCAGUGGUAGAGCACUUGCCUCACUUAUGUGAGACCCUAAGUUCGAUCCUCAGCACCA